Long non-coding RNA from Maniola jurtina (meadow brown), 553 nucleotides. RefSeq lists it as uncharacterized. The transcript is spliced from 2 exons. Lineage: Eukaryota; Metazoa; Arthropoda; Insecta; Lepidoptera; Nymphalidae. The record is from RefSeq and is a predicted model, not a curated record.
UACAUAGCUGCAGUGUACGUGGCCGCGCUCUCUACUGCACUCGAAUUUCGGAAUCGAUUAUUUAUUUACUGCAACUUUUUCCGAUAGAAUCGAUUCGGCUAUUAGUAUCUACGUAGUAACUAGUACCGUCGCGGAAGCGCUGCGUUGCGCACGCAAUUUGUUAUCUUACAGCGGUCAUCUUAAGAUUUAUUAUUGUGUAAGGUUUUCGGGUCGGUUUCCGCGGUGAUACUCGAGUUUUCCGCACGUGUGCCGUUUGUGUAGCUGAACCACUGAGUACGUCUAGCUAGAGUCAUUGACACACGGCGUGACAUACAUUCGCCGAAUGUCGGCACGCUAUCACGCGCGUUCUGGCCGAUUUUUCACGAGUGUUCGGCGACCUUACCAAACGUUUUUGUUUUGCUCUGUGUACUAUUGGAACGAUACGAUUGCCGCCGGCCGUCCAACGUUAUGAGUUACUACAGGAAUUAUGAACAGAUUUUGAUGAUUCUUUUUUGUUUGGUAGGUCAUACUUCAGAGGCGGUUCCAUUUUAAUUUGGUGAAAAUCUGAUGAAUA